CGGGCCGUCCGACCCGUCGCUGCGUCCCAGGGCUUCCCUUGGGACGUAGAGCAAAGUCCGGACUCGUAGCAGAGGCCGCUCGGGCCAACAACCCGAGGAGCGGCGCGGCGCAAGCCCGUCGCUACGUCAAGUGCAACAGAGAGCAGACCAGCCGAUGGCCGCGGGGUCUCCCUCCGGCACAGGUGAUGGGUGAAAGGGUGGGGUAAGAGCCCACCGGCGGCAUCCCGCGAGGGACCGGCCAGGUAAACCACCGGUGCGAGCAAGCCAAAUUGUCCGGGUCUCCCGGACUGGUAGGCGCAGCCUCUAGGCAGAGGCCCGGGGUCUCCCCGGAGAUGGAUGGCGGGAUAGAGCAGAAUCCGGCUUACGGGACGGCCCAGGCC
Molecule: RNase P RNA, 380 nt
Filed under: Actinomycetota bacterium
Lineage: Bacteria; Bacillati; Actinomycetota
Description: RNase P RNA component class A
Rfam family: Bacterial RNase P class A
About the family: Ribonuclease P (RNase P) is a ubiquitous endoribonuclease, found in archaea, bacteria and eukarya as well as chloroplasts and mitochondria. Its best characterised activity is the generation of mature 5'-ends of tRNAs by cleaving the 5'-leader elements of precursor-tRNAs. Cellular RNase Ps are ribonucleoproteins.
Source: RNAcentral